CCUGGUUGAUCCUGCUAGUAGUCAUAUGCUUGUCUCAAAGAUUAAGCCAUGCAUGUCUAAGUAUGAACUAGAUCUGAUUGUGAAACUACGAAUGGCUCAUUAAAUCAGUUAUAGUUUUUUUUAUGGUACCAUACUACUUGGAUAACCGUAGUAAUUUUAGAGCUAAUACGUGCACCAAGUCCUGACUCUUUCGAAAGGAUGCAUUUUUUAGAUAAAAGGUCAGCGCGAGCUUGCCCACUUCUUCGAUGAAUCAUGAUAACUCGACGGAUCGCACAACCCUUGUCCUAGUGAUGCUUCAUUAAAAUUUCUACCCUAUCAACUUUUGAUGGUAAUAUAGAGGCCUACCAUGGUGGUGACAAGUGACAGAUAAUUAGGGUUCGAUUCUAGAGAGGGAGCCUGAGAAACGACUACCACAUCCAAGGAAGGCAGCAGGCGCACACCCAAUCCUGACAUGGGGAAUUAGUGACAAUAAAUAACAAUACUGGGCUCAUUGAGUCUGGUAAUUGGAAUGAAUACAAUAUAGAUCCCUUAACGAGGAUCCAUUGGAGGGAAAAUCUGGUGCCAGCAGCCACGGUAAUUCCAGCUCCAAUAGCGUAUAUUUAAGUUGUUGUAGUUGAAAAGCUCAUAGUUGGAUCUUAGGUCGUAAAGGUCAGUGCACCUGCUCAGUGUGCAACUGCCCUUCCAUCUCUUUUGUUGGCAACGUGCUCCUAGCCUUAAUUGGUUGGGUCACGACUCCAGUGCUAUUACUUUGAAAAAAUUAGAGUGGUCAAAGCAAGCUUAUGCUCUGAAUACAUUAGCAUGGAAUAACGUGAUAGGGGUCUGGUCCUAUUGUGUUGGCCUUCGGGACCAGAGUAAUGAUUAAUAGGGACUGUCGGGGGCAUUCAUAUUUCAUUGUCAGAGGUGAAAUUCUUGGAUUUAUGAAAGACAAACCACUGCAAAAGCAUAUUCCAAGGAUGUUUUCAUUAAUCAAGAACAAAAUUUGGGGCUCGAAGACAAUCAGAUACUGUCCUAGUCUCAACCAUAAAUGAUGCCAACCAGGGAUUGAUGGAUGUUACUCUAAGGACUCCACUAGAACCUUAUGAGAAAUUGGAGUGUUUGGGUUCUGGGGGGAGUAUGGUCACAAGGCUAAAACUUAAAGGAAUUGAUGGAAGGCCACCACUAGGAGUGAAGCUUGUGGCUUAAUUUGACUCAACACGGGGAAACUUACCAAAUCCAAACAUAGUAAGGAUUGACAGAUUGAGAGCUCUUUCUUAUUUCUAUGGGUGGUGGAGCAUGGCCAUUCUUAGUUGGUGGAGCAAUUUGUUUGGUUAAUUCUGAUAAUGAACGAGACCUUAGCCUACUAACUAGCUACAUGGAGGUUCCCCUUCGCGGCCAGCUUCUUAGAGGGACUAUAGCCAUUUAGGCCAUGGAAGUUUGAGGCAAUAAUAGGUCCGUGAUGCCCUUAGAUGUUCUGGGCCACACGCGUGCUACACUGAUGUAGCCAAUGAGUUUUUCUUCCUAGUUCGAGAGGAUAGAGAAAUAUUCUCAAAUUGCAUCGUGAUGGGGAUAGACCAUUGUAAUUAUUGGUCUUCAACGAGGAAUUCCUAGUAAGCACAUGUCUUCAACUCGUGUUGACUACGUCCUUGCCCUUUGUACACACCACCUGUCACUCUUACCGAUUGAAUGAUCUGGUGAAGUGUUCAAAUUUCGUCGACGAUGGUGGUUUGCUGCUGUUGACAUCAUGAGAAGUUCAUUGAACCUUAUCAUUUAGAGGAAGGAGAAGUCGUAACAAUGUUACCAUAGGUGAACCUGCGGUAG
RNAcentral lists this ribosomal RNA (1797 nucleotides) under Pinus taeda (loblolly pine). RNAcentral's name for it is "SSU rRNA". It matches the Rfam family "Eukaryotic small subunit ribosomal RNA". The record is from RNAcentral. Lineage: Eukaryota; Viridiplantae; Streptophyta; Pinopsida; Pinales; Pinaceae.